CACCGGCAGCCCUAGUGGUGGCCGCUUUAUUGGGCAUAAAGCGUCCGUAGCCGGAUAGGCAAGUCUUUGGGUAAAUCCUACGUCUUAAGCGUGGGAAUUCUAAGAUACUACCUGUCUUGAGGCCGGAGAGGCUAGAGGUACUCCUGGGUAGGGUAAAUCCUAUAAUCCUAGGGGACCACCGAUGGCGAAGGCAUCUAGCUGGAACGGCCUGACGGUGAGGGACGAACCCAGGGGAGCGAGCCGG
This 244-nucleotide ribosomal RNA is filed under the name uncultured bacterium. RNAcentral describes it as "partial 16S ribosomal RNA". It matches the Rfam family "Archaeal small subunit ribosomal RNA", at positions 474 to 727 of the family's 1478-position model. The record is from RNAcentral.